UACGAAGGGGGCUAGCGUUGUUCGGAAUUACUGGGCGUAAAGCGCGUGUAGGCGGGUCUUUAAGUCAGGGGUGAAAUGCCAAGGCUCAACCUUGGAACUGCCUUUGAUACUGGAGAUCUUGAGUCCGGGAGAGGUGAGUGGAAUUGCGAGUGUAGAGGUGAAAUUCGUAGAUAUUCGCAAGAACACCAGUGGCGAAGGCGGCUCACUGGCCCGGAACUGACGCUGAGACACGAAAGCGUGGGGAGCAAACAGG
Molecule: ribosomal RNA, 253 nt
Filed under: uncultured bacterium
Lineage: Bacteria
Description: partial 16S ribosomal RNA
Rfam family: Bacterial small subunit ribosomal RNA
Source: RNAcentral